RNAcentral lists this ribosomal RNA (478 nucleotides) under uncultured bacterium. RNAcentral describes it as "partial 16S ribosomal RNA". It matches the Rfam family "Bacterial small subunit ribosomal RNA", at positions 28 to 523 of the family's 1533-position model. The record is from RNAcentral.
GACGAACGCUGGCGGCGUGCUUAACACAUGCAAGUCGAACGAUGAAGAAGAGCUUGCUCUUCGGAUUAGUGGCGAACGGGUGAGUAACACGUGACUAACCUGCCCCUUUCUCUGGGAUAACGCUCCGAAAGGAGUGCUAAUACCGGAUACUCACAUCGAGGCACAUGCCUUGAUGUGGAAAGUUUUUCGGAAAGGGAUGGAGUCGCGGCCUAUCAGCUUGUUGGUGAGGUAACGGCUCACCAAGGCGACGACGGGUAGCCGGCCUGAGAGGGCGACCGGCCACACUGGGACUGAGACACGGCCCAGACUCCUACGGGAGGCAGCAGUGGGGAAUAUUGCACAAUGGGCGAAAGCCUGAUGCAGCGACGCCGCGUGAGGGAUGAAGGUCUUCGGAUUGUAAACCUCUUUCAGUAGGGACGAAUUUUGACGGUACCUGAGGAAUAAGGGGUUGCUAACUCUGUGCCAGCCGCCGCGGUAA